GUGACGCGGCCGGUAACGGGCCGUUCUGAGUAAAAGCUCCUGGAACAUGGAAGUUUGUUUCAUCCUGUGGGUCCGCACCUGACAGCCCUCAGUCGGUUCUGACUGAGCGGAAUGUUUAUGGUGCGUUUACAAAUCUAUUCCUAGUCAGCAGAGAAUGGAAAAUACGUGGUUACAAAAUCUUACUUUAAAACAAAUGUGUUCGUUGGUUUCAGAGGAAGGGAGGGGGGAAUCACUGACCACCACCUCCUCAGGCCCCGCGCGGGGGUCGGACCCACGGCCCGGCCGGUGCCCUGAUGGGAUGGACGCUCCCACUGACCCACACCGGUCGGCCGAAUCGAUCAGUUCAUGGAACGGAAUCGGAGGUGCAGGAAGAGACCCAGAUCCAAGGAUCCAUUUUGUCAGAUAAACACGUCUCCUCGGGUCAUGAGAAAAAUGUGCGUGAAAUAAUAAAUGGAGCUGGGCCGUGAGACCAGCAGCGGGUCCGGGAGGAAGUCCCUGCAGCC
This is a long non-coding RNA of Myotis davidii, 503 nucleotides long. RefSeq lists it as uncharacterized. The transcript has 2 exons. Lineage: Eukaryota; Metazoa; Chordata; Mammalia; Chiroptera; Vespertilionidae. The record is from RefSeq and is a predicted model, not a curated record.